AGCACUUCGGUGCUAGAGACCGGCGCACGGGUGCGUAACGCGUAUGCAAUCUACCUUUUACAGGGGGAUAGCCCAGAGAAAUUUGGAUUAAUACCCCAUGGUAUAGUGAGUUGGCAUCAACUUGCUAUUAAAGUCACAACGGUAAAAGAUGAGCAUGCGUCCCAUUAGCUAGAUGGUAAGGUAACGGCUUACCAUGGCUACGAUGGGUAGGGGUCCUGAGAGGGAGAUCCCCCACACUGGUACUGAGACACGGACCAGACUCCUACGGGAGGCAGCAGUGAGGAAUAUUGGACAAUGGGCGCAAGCCUGAUCCAGCCAUGCCGCGUGCAGGAUGACGGUCCUAUGGAUUGUAAACUGCUUUUAUACGAGAAGAAACACUGAUUCGUGAAUCAGCUUGACGGUAUCGUAAGAAUAAGGAUCGGCUAACUCCGUGCCAGCAGCCGCGGUAAUACGGAGGAUCCAAGCGUUAUCCGGAAUCAUUGGGUUUAAAGGGUCCGUAGGCGGUCUAGUAAGUCAGUGGUGAAAGCCCAUCGCUCAACGGUGGAACGGCCAUUGAUACUGCUGGACUUGAAUUAUUAGGAAGUAACUAGAAUAUGUAGUGUAGCGGUG
Molecule: ribosomal RNA, 609 nt
Filed under: Flavobacterium gyeonganense
Lineage: Bacteria; Pseudomonadati; Bacteroidota; Flavobacteriia; Flavobacteriales; Flavobacteriaceae
Description: bacterial SSU rRNA
Rfam family: Bacterial small subunit ribosomal RNA
Source: RNAcentral